GUGGGGAAUCUUAGACAAUGGGGGAAACCCUGAUCUAGCCAUGCCGCGUGAGCGAUGAAGGCCUUAGGGUUGUAAAGCUCUUUCAGCUGGGAAGAUAAUGACGGUACUAGCAGAAGAAGCCCCGGCUAACUCCGUGCCAGCAGCCGCGGUAAUACGGAGGGGGCUAGCGUUGUUCGGAAUUACUGGGCGUAAAGCGCACGUAGGCGGAACAGAAAGUCAGAGGUGAAAUCCCAGGGCUCAACCUUGGAACUGCCUUUGAAACUCCUGUUCUUGAGGUCGAGAGAGGUGAGUGGAAUUCCGAGUGUAGAGGUGAAAUUCGUAGAUAUUCGGAGGAACACCAGUGGCGAAGGCGGCCCCCUGGACAAAGACUGACGCUCAGGUGCGAAAGCGUGGGGAGCAAACAGGAUUAGAAACCCGGGUAGUCC
Molecule: ribosomal RNA, 425 nt
Filed under: uncultured bacterium
Lineage: Bacteria
Description: partial 16S ribosomal RNA
Rfam family: Bacterial small subunit ribosomal RNA
Source: RNAcentral